RNAcentral lists this transfer RNA (76 nucleotides) under Marinospirillum alkaliphilum DSM 21637. Its description in RNAcentral is "tRNA_Asn_GTT". It matches the Rfam family "tRNA". Rfam says of the family: Transfer RNA (tRNA) molecules are approximately 80 nucleotides in length. Their secondary structure includes four short double-helical elements and three loops (D, anti-codon, and T loops). The record is from RNAcentral. Lineage: Bacteria; Pseudomonadati; Pseudomonadota; Gammaproteobacteria; Oceanospirillales; Oceanospirillaceae. RNAcentral also lists the same sequence under 1 other name.
UCCCGAAUAGCUCAGUCGGUAGAGCAGUUGACUGUUAAUCAAUUGGUCGCAGGUUCGAGUCCUGCUUCGGGAGCCA